GUGGUCACUAUUCAUGUGUCAUGCUUCGUGAUAUGAGCCAGUAGCCAACAUAUCUCAGGCAGAGCGGCAUCAUGCUUAUGUCACCUUUCUUCAUCGUAGGCAGAGCUUUGGUGGAUGAUGCCGUCUGCAGCUCCCGUUUCUCGCUUCUGUACACAUGCCUGCUGAAGCAAGUUUACCAUAUGGGGUUGCAACCCCCUCAUUUGAGUCCCGCAGAUCAUGCAAGCAAGCAGUUGCAAUGUCUAGCAUGCAAGCCCAAUUUUACUACUUCUCAUGAGACAACAUCAUACCUUGGGUUGUUGCUUGGGUUUGGUGCUGCCCAGGUGUGCAGCCAUGGCAUGAGGAGCGUGGUCGCGAUGGUGAAGUCCUAUGUUGCCAAGUUGCCAUAGAACUCGGCAAAGUCGUCAUAUUUCAUUCCACUGACGGCCAGGAAUUCCUCAAACGCUUUGGUGGCCUUAUCACCAGCAACACUGCAAACGUUGCUGGGCACGUUUAAAAUGUACCGCUCAUCUGAUGAACCAGUGCAAUGGCUGAUGAUGCCACUCACUUGUCAUUCGUUGGCUGCAUCAUAGCUGCAGCUGGACCUCGUGCAUCCUGCGCCUAUUGUCCGACGGCUGCGUGGGCUGCAUCCCGAAUCCACCCACAAAAUCAUCAUUGGCUUCCAUUGUGAUAUUACCUCUUAAGCAUCUUUAGAGAUUUGGCCUAUGGGGUUAGACAGUAGGGUCGGGCUGGAGCCAACUAUAGCACAGCCAGAGACUCUUGAUCCUGAGUAAGGUAAUUAUUACAAGGACGAUAACACUUGUUAGUUUGAUGCUGCAAUGAGUGGCAAUGCACAAUGAGACAGGUACAGAUCCUGCCUGUGGGUCGCCGCUGUACUGC
RNAcentral lists this long non-coding RNA (876 nucleotides) under Volvox carteri. RNAcentral's name for it is "long non-coding RNA (VCAR_LNC002913)". Lineage: Eukaryota; Viridiplantae; Chlorophyta; Chlorophyceae; Chlamydomonadales; Volvocaceae. The record is from RNAcentral.